Molecule: ribosomal RNA, 391 nt
Filed under: uncultured bacterium
Lineage: Bacteria
Description: bacterial SSU rRNA
Rfam family: Bacterial small subunit ribosomal RNA
Source: RNAcentral
GACGAACGCUGGCGGCGUGCUUAACACAUGCAAGUCGAACGAUGAAGCCCUUCGGGGUGGAUUAGUGGCGAACGGGUGAGUAACACGUGGGCAAUCUGCCCUUCACUCUGGGACAAGCCCUGGAAACGGGGUCUAAUACCGGAUAACACUCCUCAGGGCAUCUUGAGGGGUUAAAAGCUCCGGCGGUGAAGGAUGAGCCCGCGGCCUAUCAGCUUGUUGGUGGGGUAAUGGCCUACCAAGGCGACGACGGGUAGCCGGCCUGAGAGGGCGACCGGCCACCACUGGGACUGAGACACGGCCCAGACUCCUACGGGAGGCAGCAGGUGGGGAAGUAUUGCACAAUGGGGCGAAAAGCCUGAUGCAGCGACGCCGCGUGAGGGAUGACGGCCUC